Molecule: long non-coding RNA, 1037 nt
Filed under: Heterocephalus glaber (naked mole-rat)
Lineage: Eukaryota; Metazoa; Chordata; Mammalia; Rodentia; Bathyergidae
Description: lncRNA (ENSHGLG00100040872.1)
Source: RNAcentral
GCGAGGUGCCCGAGCUCUAUGCGCUCUUUAGGCCGGCCGGCGGGAGGCAGCGGCAAGAGGCGCUUUUCCGGAGCGCCCGCUCGGCAGCAAGGCCUCGGACGGAGGCGAAAUAAAUAAUGCACGAAAAAGGAAAACAGACGUGAGCGGAGCCAGAGCCUCGCCCGCCUCCCGCCCGCGCUCCCCGCCGCCGCCGCCAGCGCCGCUGCAGUGAUUCCUCGUCUCCAUCUAGCGAGGCUAUUGUCCAAGACUAUCAACAAGUCGGUUGCGGGAAGGAGCCUGCUACGUCUCCAGCAGACAAGCUACUCCUCGCUUCCGAAGAAGCUUGGCAGGCGCGCUCUGGUCUUUCAGACCAACGUCUUGGCGACCUUCUUCAUGUCAGAGCCCCAGGACGCGAUAGAUACUCUUCUCCGUAGGACUCUAGGGAUCCGGAUCCGCCCCUCCACUGCACUGGGGAUGGAACUCAGUACCUUCUGCUUGGGAGGCAGGCGCGUUGCCACUGAGCUAAAUGCCUGGCCCUGCAUUAUCUAAUCUGGUCUUCAGCAUUCCUAUACUGGACCUCUAUGUACCAAUGCACCUCUUGAGAGUCACCUGGCCCUCAUCUUCCUGGCCCAUCCAACACUGCAGAAUGUCACAGCCUCCCUUAGGGUGAAGACAAGCUCCAUUGCAGAUCUCUCAUGCCACAGUAGGACCCAGGGAUGUGCUGGCUCCUCUCGCCCUUUCUGGGUAUAGAUGGUGACCCACACACUGUCACACAGGAUCUGCUUACAGAGGCCACUUGGCAGCUCUACUCAGAAAUGGAAAGGAGUUAAACUUUGGGGGAAAACUUUGGCCAAUGAAAGGCAGGAGAUGAAAGGAACCCAGCAUACGGAUUCCAGUGGUUCCAGUUGACCUGUCAGGAGGUGUCCAGUAGGUGAUUAAGCAACUGGCAAUGUUUUCUCCAGAUAUGUGGCCAGCUUGAUAAUUCACAACUUUGUAUUUGCUCCCCGCCUUACUACCACUUUUCCCUUGUUUUUCUUACCCUAGGAUUUUAUCCCUCA